This 601-nucleotide long non-coding RNA is filed under the name Mytilus galloprovincialis (Mediterranean mussel). Lineage: Eukaryota; Metazoa; Mollusca; Bivalvia; Mytilida; Mytilidae. The record is from RNAcentral.
UUUAUGCCCCACCUACGAUAGUAGAGGGGCAUUAUGUUUUCUGGUCUGUGCGUCCGUUCGUUCGUUCGUCCGUCCGUCUGUUCGUUCGUUCGUUCGUUCGUCCGUCUGUCCCGCUUCAGGUUAAAGUUUUUGGUCAAGGUAGUUUUUGAUGAAGUUGAAGUCCAAUCAACUUGAAACUUAGUACACAUGUUCCUUAUGAUAUGAUCUUUCUAAUUUAAAUGCCAAAUUAGAGUUUUGACCCCAAUUUUACGGUUCACUGAACAUAGAAAAUGAUAGUGCAAAUUUCAGGUUAAAGUUUUUGGCUUCAGGUUAAAGUUUUUGGUCAAAGUAGUUUUUGAUGAAGUUGAAGUCCAAUCAACUUGAAACUUAGUAUACAUGUGCCCUAUGAUAUGAUCUUCCUAAUUUAAAUGCCAAAUUAGAGUUUAGACCCCAAUUUUACGGUUCACUGAACAUAGAAAAUGAUAGUGCAAAUUUCAGGUUAAAGUUUUUGGUCAAGGUAGUUUUUGAUGAAGUUGAAGUCCAAUCAACUUGAAACUUAGUAUACAUGUGCCCUAUGAUAUGAUCUUUCUAAUUUAAAUGCCAAAUUAGAGUUUUGACUCCA